This 445-nucleotide ribosomal RNA is filed under the name uncultured bacterium. RNAcentral's name for it is "partial 16S ribosomal RNA". It matches the Rfam family "Bacterial small subunit ribosomal RNA", at positions 354 to 796 of the family's 1533-position model. The record is from RNAcentral.
GUGAGGAAUAUUGGUCAAUGGACGAGAGUCUGAACCAGCCAAGUAGCGUGAAGGAUGAAGGUCCUACGGAUUGUAAACUUCUUUUAUAAGGGAAUAAACCCUCCCACGUGUGUGAGCUUGUAUGUACCUUAUGAAUAAGCAUCGGCUAACUCCGUGCCAGCAGCCGCGGUAAUACGGAGGAUGCGAGCGUUAUCCGGAUUUAUUGGGUGUAAAGGGAGCGCAGACGGGUCGUUAAGUCAGCUGUGAAAGUUUGGGGCUCAACCUUAAAAUUGCAGUUGAUACUGGCGUCCUUGAGUGCGGUUGAGGUGUGCGGAAUUCGUGGUGUAGCGGUGAAAUGCUUAGAUAUCACGAAGAACUCCGAUUGCGAAGGCAGCACACUAAUCCGUAACUGACGUUCAUGCUCGAAAGUGUGGGUAUCAAACAGGAUUAGAAACCCGGGUAGUCC